Long non-coding RNA from Lepidothrix coronata (blue-crowned manakin), 367 nucleotides. RefSeq lists it as uncharacterized. The transcript is spliced from 3 exons. The record is from RefSeq and is a predicted model, not a curated record. Lineage: Eukaryota; Metazoa; Chordata; Aves; Passeriformes; Pipridae.
GGUUGUAUCCUGAUAAUCUGUCCUUAAAAAUGGGCAAACUGUGACUCCACACUCACGGGAAUACAGCUGUGACUGCUCUGACUCCAUCACAGCCUGGAGAAUGGGAAGGGGAAAUUGCUGCCAUCGUUAAUAUCUUCAAGACUCCGAAUGACUGCUGGGACUUUGGAGGAUAUUUAGACGUAGGAUGGAGGAGACACAGGCCUGUUCAAAGAGAUGCAGCUGGAAAUGGGAAAGGGUGUGUGCAAGAAGGGAAGAACUAUAUUUCCAACACUAUAUUUUAAUCUAAAUGUAAUACUGGAUUUCUCCACCUUGAGGAGCUUCAAGGCUUCUUUUUUUUUUUUUAACACAUCAUUCCUCAAAGAACAUA